Molecule: small nuclear RNA, 107 nt
Organism: Otolemur garnettii (small-eared galago)
Lineage: Eukaryota; Metazoa; Chordata; Mammalia; Primates; Galagidae
Source: Ensembl
GUGCUCGCUUCGGCAGCACGUAUACUAGGAUUGGAACAAUACAGAGAAGAUUAGCAUGGCCCAUGCACAAGGAUGACACACAAAUUCGUGAAGCAUUCCAUAUUUUA